CUGUCACGCCCCGGGACCCAGCGGAAGCCCGCCCGGCACGUGCCCAGACCCGCCAUACGUCUAAAACAUAUAAGGCGUCUAAAAACAACAAUAAUAAAAGCAAUAGUAAAAGACAUCUAGGAGUAUCAGAGCAUAAUAAAUGUCUAAAUGCUACAACAAAGGAUAAGGAUAAAACUGUAAAUCCACUAAAUAGAACAUAAAGUGAUACAAGGAAAUCCCAGAUACAAGUACUAUAGGUAGAUACAUAGGUAGUCUCUAUACAUGGAUAAAAAAAUCUCUCACUCUCUCUCAACUACAAAAAGGAGUAAACCACCUAAGCAAAGUACCGCUCCUCGCUAGCUAGCUAAGCGAUCCCCUUGCCGCGAUCCCGUGCCUCCGCCGGUGCCGAAGGCUCUGAAAAAUAAACCAUAAAACAAGGGCGUGAGAACUAUUAAAA
This 436-nucleotide long non-coding RNA is filed under the name Ananas comosus (pineapple). RNAcentral describes it as "long non-coding RNA (ACOM_LNC017831)". Lineage: Eukaryota; Viridiplantae; Streptophyta; Magnoliopsida; Poales; Bromeliaceae. The record is from RNAcentral.